CAGGACAGAUGCAGUUUUUUUCAGAUAUUUUGGCCCAAGUUUGAUUAGACAUGAAAGCAAAAGACACGGAUUCAGAGAGGUGAUGCUACACACGGCCACAGGCACACACGUGUGCACACACACAGCCACGCCUGCCUACACACAGCAGAAUCACACGAGUGGGUCCACAGGUGGGUGCACACUCCUGCACUUCGUGGGGUCACAGGUUUCGGGCUGUGCCUCCUCAGGGGCAGAAUCUGUGGAGAACGCUGGCAUGGCUGGCCUGCUUUCCAGGAGCAGGCGUCUCGCCUGCAGCGCCAGGCUCCUCCCCCAGAGCUGACUCUCCUCCCUCAGGGCCGGCCCCUUCCUUCCGCUGUGCUGAGGCAGAGGAGCCGCCCCAAAGCCGGGGUCACCGCAGGCCCAGACCUCCUGGUGCUGUGCAGUCUGGCCUCCGGGGAGCCUUCAGCCUGCUGUCCAUGGCAGCCCCUCACCGUCUUCCCGUCCAUCCCUGCUUGUGUCCCUGUCCUGUGUCAACAGUGGACCGGGACUCUCACUGUCCAGCACUGAGCAGAAGUCCAGGUCACAGGUGCCACAACUGUCCAGCCAAGCCUGGGGAUCCAUCCUGUGGCCAACGAGUUCAAAACCACCUGUGUAACCCUCUUUCUUCGGCCUUUGAAAUGUCCCCUGGGGCCGGGGUUUCCCUCAGUGGUUCGCCGCCUGCCUCUCGAGCACAAGGUCCCGAGUUUGAUUGCCGGUACCAAAAAAAUAAAUAAAAAUGUCCGCUGUCCUCAGCCUCCUGAACAUACUGUGAGCUGGCGCGGCACACACAGCCCCACUGCUACGACACCCCUGCUACACUCAGGAUGUUCGAAGGCUGUCAUUUAGGUUGUGACCCAAACAGGCGCUGGUCACAGUCAUCCUGAGUUUUGCUAAGAAACUCCCAAACCGAAGUCCAGAGCGGCUGUGCCUCUCACCUCCCACCAGCAACUCCCGUCCUUGUGAGUACCUGGCAGUCAUCUCCAUGUGUCAGCCGGUGCUGGACACGUAGCAAUGGCGCAGUGUGGCUGUCACCUGCAGGUCCGUGACGGCUGGACGGGGACAUGCUCUCUGGAUACAGGUCUCCUCUGUCCACUUUCUAAUCAUACUGCCUGGGCAGUUUUACUUAUUGUUUUUACUGUUA
Molecule: long non-coding RNA, 1159 nt
Filed under: Fukomys damarensis (Damara mole-rat)
Lineage: Eukaryota; Metazoa; Chordata; Mammalia; Rodentia; Bathyergidae
Description: lncRNA (ENSFDAG00000026759.1)
Source: RNAcentral